Molecule: non-coding RNA, 65 nt
Organism: Haplochromis burtoni (Burton's mouthbrooder)
Lineage: Eukaryota; Metazoa; Chordata; Actinopteri; Cichliformes; Cichlidae
Source: the annotation of a RefSeq genome assembly
AGCCUCGAGGUGUAUACAUGUCGGAUUGCAAAUCCGAAGUAGUAGGUUAGACCCUGCCGGGGCUU